GUGGACAGCGAAGGGGAGUAGCCCCCAAUCGGAUAUUCGACAUACUGGCCGUACAGCGUUGCGAUAACGGCCCGGUUAUCCGAACCGGUCACGGCCGGUGGGCGAGACCUUCGGCCGUAGA
RNAcentral lists this unclassified non-coding RNA (121 nucleotides) under Mycolicibacterium neworleansense. Its description in RNAcentral is "yybP-ykoY". The record is from RNAcentral. Lineage: Bacteria; Bacillati; Actinomycetota; Actinomycetes; Mycobacteriales; Mycobacteriaceae.